RNAcentral lists this ribosomal RNA (403 nucleotides) under Verrucomicrobiota bacterium. RNAcentral describes it as "Verrucomicrobia bacterium partial 16S ribosomal RNA". It matches the Rfam family "Bacterial small subunit ribosomal RNA", at positions 355 to 776 of the family's 1533-position model. The record is from RNAcentral. Lineage: Bacteria; Pseudomonadati; Verrucomicrobiota.
UGGGGAAUAUUGCACAAUGGGCGCAAGCCUGAUGCAGCAACGCCGCGUGAACGAUGAAGGUCUUCGGAUCGUAAAGUUCUGUUGCAGGGGAAGAUAAUGACGGUACCCUGUGAGGAAGCCCCGGCUAACUACGUGCCAGCAGCCGCGGUAAUACGUAGGGGGCUAGCGUUAUCCAGAUUUACUGGGCGUAAAGGGUGCGUAGGUGGUCUUUCAAGUCGGUGGUUAAAGGCUACGGCUCAACCGUAGUUAGCCUCCGAAACUGGAAGACUUGAGUGCAGGAGAGGAAAGUGGAAUUCCCAGUGUAGCGGUGAAAUGCGUAGAUAUUGGGAGGAACACCAGUAGCGAAGGCGGCUUUCUGGACUGCAACUGACACUGAGGCACGAAAGCGUGGGUAGCAAACAGG